Molecule: small RNA, 18 nt
Filed under: Arabidopsis thaliana (thale cress)
Lineage: Eukaryota; Viridiplantae; Streptophyta; Magnoliopsida; Brassicales; Brassicaceae
Description: ATSL187320
Source: RNAcentral
CUUUCUCUCUUCUCUCUC